This 487-nucleotide ribosomal RNA is filed under the name uncultured bacterium. RNAcentral's name for it is "bacterial SSU rRNA". It matches the Rfam family "Bacterial small subunit ribosomal RNA", at positions 30 to 508 of the family's 1533-position model. The record is from RNAcentral.
AUUGAACGCUGGCGGCAUGCUUUACACAUGCAAGUCGAACGGCAGCACGGGUGCUUGCACCUGGUGGCGAGUGGCGGACGGGUGAGUAAUGCAUCGGAACGUGUCCUGAAGUGGGGGAUAACGCAUCGAAAGAUGUGCUAAUACCGCAUAUUCUCUGAGGAGAAAAGUAGGGGAUCGAAAGACCUUAUGCUUUUGGAGCGGCCGAUGUCUGAUUAGCUAGUUGGUAAGGUAAUGGCUUACCAAGGCGACGAUCAGUAGUUGGUCUGAGAGGACGGCCAGCCACACUGGGACUGAGACACGGCCCAGACUCCUACGGGAGGCAGCAGUGGGGAAUUUUGGACAAUGGGCGCAAGCCUGAUCCAGCAAUGCCGCGUGAGUGAAGAAGGCCUGGUUGUAAAGCUCUUUCAGUUGAGAAGAAAAAGUACGUGACUAAUAAUACAUGAUUCAUGACGGUAUCAACAGAAGAAGCAACCGGCUAACUACGUAG